AUACGUAGAGAGCAAGCGUUGUCCGGAAUUACUGGGCGUAAAGGGUACGCAGGCGGAUAUACAAGUCGGAUGUGAAAGGUGCCGGCUCAACUGGCAGAGUGCAUUUGAAACUGUAUAUCUUGAGAGCAGGAGAGGAAAACGGAAUUCCUAGUGUAGCGGUGGAAUGCGUAGAUAUUAGGAAGAACACCAGUGGCGAAGGCGGUUUUCUGGUCUGCAACUGACGCUGAGGUACGAAAGCUGGGGGAGCGAACGGGAUUAGAUACCCCGGUAGUCCCAGCUGUAAACGAUGGACACUAGGUGUUGGGGGUUCGAAUCCUUCAGUGCCGGAGUUAACGCGAUAAGUGUCCCGCCUGGGGAAUACGACCGCAAGGUUGAA
This 376-nucleotide ribosomal RNA is filed under the name uncultured bacterium. RNAcentral describes it as "bacterial SSU rRNA". It matches the Rfam family "Bacterial small subunit ribosomal RNA", at positions 523 to 898 of the family's 1533-position model. The record is from RNAcentral.